This 843-nucleotide long non-coding RNA is filed under the name Phasianus colchicus (ring-necked pheasant). Its description in RNAcentral is "lncRNA (ENSPCLG00000016821.1)". Lineage: Eukaryota; Metazoa; Chordata; Aves; Galliformes; Phasianidae. The record is from RNAcentral.
GACGUGCUCCAGCUCCAGAACUUUGGCAAACUCUCCCAGCUUGGAGGCGGCGGCGCGGCGCACCAUGGGGGUGUCGUCAGAGCACAGGUUGCGGAAAUACCUGGGGGGGGGGACGGGGACAAUUUGGGGAGGGGGGGGGGGGGGGGGGGNCGGGGACGACCCAGAGUUGAGGCCAGGCCACUCGAACCAAAGUCAGCCUGGGGGCAGUGGGGACGGUUUGGGGACGUUGGGGGCAGUUUGGGGACGGGCAGUGGGGUCAGCGUGGCCAAAAAGCCAAGCUGGGCAACGUGGGAUUUGUCUGGAGCUGCUGCGGGGCCAACAAGGGCGGCUAUGGGGCCACCAGGGAUGGGUUGGGGCCACCACGGGUGGAAUGGGGCCACCAGGGGUAGAAUGGGGCCACCAGGGGAUGGGCUGGGGCCACCAGGGGUGGCUAUAGCACCAGCAGGAGUGGCUAUGGGGCCACCAGGGAUGGGCUGGGGCCACCAGGGAUGGGUUGGGGCCACCAGGAUUAACUAUGGGGAUGAGAAAAGAUGGAUUGGGGCCACCAAGAGCAGCUAUGGGACCAGCAGGGGUGGCUAUGGGAUCACUAGGGGAUGGAAUGUUGCCACCAGGGAUGGGUUGGGGCCACCAAGAGGUGGGUUGGGGCCACCAGGGGUGGCUAUGGGGCCACCAGGGGAUGGGUUGGGGUCACCAGGGGCGGCUAUGGGGUCACCAGGGAUGGGUUGGGGCCACCAGGGGCGGCCAUGGGGUCACCAGGGGAUGGGUUGGGGCCAUCAAGAGAUGGGCUGGGGCCACCAGGGAUAGCUAUAGGGUCACCAAAGGAUGGGUUGGGGCCACCAGGAG